This is a long non-coding RNA of Pseudopipra pipra, 754 nucleotides long. RefSeq lists it as uncharacterized. The transcript is spliced from 7 exons. The record is from RefSeq and is a predicted model, not a curated record. Lineage: Eukaryota; Metazoa; Chordata; Aves; Passeriformes; Pipridae.
AGCGUCCUUAUCCUUUCCACCUGGGGGCUGCGGGGGCGGUGGGAAGCACAGGCCUUACCACCGAGAGGAUUCUGAGGCUCGUCAGGCUCUUGGGAGGAGUGUGUUAUUUCAAGGAAGAAGCAGUGCCAAUGUCUUAAAUGGGGAAAAAACACAUAUGGAAAUUGAAGCUGAUCAAAAUUAAGCAUCCAAGAUCUACUGUAUUUCUCCUUUGAGAAUUCAUAACAGCAACAGAUACUUUAGAUGUAAGGCCUGUUCAGAGGUCCCUCCCAGGUCCAACAUGCCAAGGCCUCCUUGUUGGACUCCUUGUGCAGCAGGAAGGAUCGUCAGUAUUUCUUACUGAACUAGUCUUUUUCUCCUAAGGUUCUGUCAAGCUAGACACUUUAAAAGGACACUUUUGAGAACGUGUAGAACAGGCAGAAAGAACCCAAGGUCUCCAAUAAUUAACAUACUUCCUCCCACUUGCUCUGAAGACGGAGACUGACGAAAUCUGGUAUAGGAUGAUGCAGCUAUCAGGGACAGGCCUAAAAGAGAGACUGAGAGCUGUGCAGCCGGGGCCGGAGUCGAUGUAUCAUAUCUCCCUCUGCUGGGAGGCACCGCAAUCGCUCAGCCGACUGUCGCCACCGGAGCUGCCUUCAGAAACAGCGAGGGCAACGCUCGCCUCAGGUCCCAACAAAUAGGAACUGACAGUAGGUCUCACCUUUUGUAUUUUUGCAGUGAAUUUCCAGAGAGAUAGAGAUUAAAAUGAUCAUGCUUA